GAACUCUGAGACAGGUGCUGCAUGGCUGUCGUCAGCUCGUGUUGUGAAAUGUUGGGUUAAGUCCCGCAACGAGCGCAACCCUUAUCCUUUGUUGCCAGCGGUCCGGCCGGGAACUCAAAGGAGACUGCCAGUGAUAAACUGGAGGAAGGUGGGGAUGACGUCAAGUCAUCAUGGCCCUUACGAGUAGGGCUACACACGUGCUACAAUGGCGCAUACAAAGAGAAGCGACCUCGCGAGAGCAAGCGGACCUCAUAAAGUGCGUCGUAGUCCGGAUUGGAGUCUGCAACUCGACUCCAUGAAGUCGGAAUCGCUAGUAAUCGUAGAUCAGAAUGCUACGGUGAAUACGUUCCCGGGCCUUGUACACACCGCCCGUCACACCAUGGGAGUGGGUUGCAAAAGAAGUAGGUAGCUUAACCCUUCGGGAGGGCGCUUACCACUUUGUGAUUCAUG
This 450-nucleotide ribosomal RNA is filed under the name uncultured bacterium. RNAcentral describes it as "bacterial SSU rRNA". It matches the Rfam family "Bacterial small subunit ribosomal RNA", at positions 1024 to 1473 of the family's 1533-position model. The record is from RNAcentral.